RNAcentral lists this ribosomal RNA (1125 nucleotides) under Triticum aestivum (bread wheat). Its description in RNAcentral is "partial small subunit ribosomal RNA". The record is from RNAcentral. Lineage: Eukaryota; Viridiplantae; Streptophyta; Magnoliopsida; Poales; Poaceae.
AUGAACGGCCGUCCCGCCCCCUUCAACCUGUACCGCAUAGAUCCCGCCAAGUUGUUCUACCCGGCCGGCGGCGCAUCAGCAACGGCGACGUCGUCCGAAGAAAGACCAUCAGAUCCAACGACAAUGAUGAAAUCUCGGUUACCUAGGCCGGCCAUCUCCUUCGACUGGCCCUGCGAAAAGAACCUGGCCGCGGCCGGGCAGAUCGAUUUCAUGUCCAUCGGCCGCGGCGGGAACGCCAUCGUCGCUGUGGACAACGUCGGCCGCACCAUCCUGUAUGACGCAGAGCUCCACACCAUCCGCACCAGCCUGCCCAUGAUGUCCCAACCCAUGCGGGACCCGAUCGCCAUUGCCGUCGGCGACGACGACCUGUUCGUCAUGGCGAGCAGGCCCGGCCCGCGGCCCCAGAUGGAAUGCUUCCAGGCCCUCCUCCGCGACAGCAACUCGUCCUCGUCCUUCAAGAAAUGGCGUUGGAUCUACCUCCAGCCACCGCCCUUCACCUGGCGCUGCGAAUAUGACCAUCAUCCGAUCUGCUGCUGCUGCCGCUACCACGACAGCGACGGCUUGUUGGGCACUGAGUUCCAAGACGCCUUUGCAAUCUGCGCCCACACGAUGGUCGGCGACUCGCAGAUCUGGAUAUCCACGCCAGCCGCCGGCACGUAUACCUUGGACACGGAGAGCGGCGCGUGGAGCAAGGCCGGCGACUGGGCGCUGCCGUUCAGAGGCCGCGCGGUGUACGUCCCCGAGGACGGUCUCUGGUUUGGCUUUUCGCCGGACUACGAGCAGCUCUGCGCGUUUGACCUGACCGCCAUGUCGACGGCGACGGCGCCGCCCGUGCCGCUGAUGGCGUGGGACGAUCUGGACUGGCCGGAGAGCUGGGUCCCGACGGCCGGACGUAUCGUGCCGCUGGGCUCUGGCAGGUUCUGCGUCGCCAGGUUCUUCUAUACCUGGGUGAACCAAUUGAUCACGUUCGCCAGCGGGCUCACCUAUGAUAGCCACACCACGACGAAUCUUGCGGUACUCACCGGCGUGGAGGUGGAGCGCGGUGGCGCUCACGGGCUGGGAAGGAUGGUCCGGCACAAGUCCAAGCGGUACGACCUCGGCUGCAACGUCGCCAAAGCCCUGUGA